Hypanus sabinus (Atlantic stingray) is the source of this 641-nucleotide long non-coding RNA. RefSeq lists it as uncharacterized. The record is from RefSeq and is a predicted model, not a curated record. The transcript has 3 exons. NCBI's taxonomy places the organism in Eukaryota, Metazoa, Chordata, Chondrichthyes, Myliobatiformes, Dasyatidae.
CCGGAGUCUGACGUCACCGCCCCUCCCGGUGACGUCACCGCCCCUCCCGCGACUGGCCGCGCUACGUUAUGUUGGGGCAGGGGGCUCAGCGGGCUCUAGGACGGGGCAUGUCCCAACGGUGCAAAAUGGAAAAAGCCGCCCUCCCCUCCGUGGUAAUUCCUACUAUGGUGGCGCUUCCCGAAAUCCGGCCGAUGCGGAGAUAGAGCGGUAAAUCGUGGCGUCAUCGAUGAUACAAUGGCACCACUGGCUAUAACGUGACGUCAGUGACUGCACAACUUGGAUCUUGCUACGGAAUUGGGCCAUGCUGUAUCAGGACCAUAUGGUGGAUGGACUGCAGUGAUCACCCACGACAGAAGUACUCACCUAGAAACAUCCUCCAUUUUGUUGGACUAAGUUAUUCUUGGCCUUGAGAAUCUACCCAAGGAGAAAGAAAAGAUGGUCUGUUUAGCUCAUUCUAUGCUUGAUUGCUGCAGAAAUACUCUAACUAAUACUUUGUGUAUUUAAUAUUUCAGUAAUCUUGUAUAUACAGUAUAUUGGUUGAUUAAGCAUUCUUGUUCCUUUAAAUAAUUCAUUACAGGUCAUAUGUAUAAAUACGAGAAUUGUAUACAUCGUCAUGUGCAACUCGCUUAAAGUAAACGAAG